RNAcentral lists this ribosomal RNA (274 nucleotides) under uncultured bacterium. RNAcentral's name for it is "partial 16S ribosomal RNA". It matches the Rfam family "Bacterial small subunit ribosomal RNA", at positions 523 to 796 of the family's 1533-position model. The record is from RNAcentral.
AUACGGAGGGCCCAAGCGUUAUCCGGAAUCAUUGGGUUUAAAGGGUGCGCAGGCGGUUUAUUAAGUCAGUGGUGAAAUCUCGGGGCUCAACCUCGAAACUGCCAUUGAUACUGAUAAACUUGAGUUCAGUUGGAGUAGGCGGAAUGUGUAGUGUAGCGGUGAAAUGCUUAGAUAUUACACAGAACACCGAUAGCGAAGGCAGCUUACUAAACUGAUACUGACGCUGAGGCACGAAAGCGUGGGGAGCGAACAGGAUUAGAAACCCUAGUAGUCC